RNAcentral lists this ribosomal RNA (235 nucleotides) under uncultured eukaryote. RNAcentral describes it as "partial 18S ribosomal RNA". It matches the Rfam family "Eukaryotic small subunit ribosomal RNA", at positions 629 to 868 of the family's 1831-position model. The record is from RNAcentral.
CGUAGUUGGAUGUCGGGCACGUGCGCACGGUCCGCCGAAAGGUGUGCACUGUGGUCUGUGCGUGCCCUCUUUCCGUAGGCCGCGUGUGCCCUUAACUGGGUGUGCGCGGGAUGCGGAUCUUUUACUUUGAAUAAAAUAGAGUGUUCAAAGCAGGCUUUCGCUUGAAUACUGCAGCAUGGAAUAAUGGAAUAGGACUUUGGUUCUAUUUUGUUGGUUUCUAGGACCGAAGUAAUGA